This 78-nucleotide transfer RNA is filed under the name Gammaproteobacteria bacterium. RNAcentral describes it as "tRNA-Pro". It matches the Rfam family "tRNA". Rfam says of the family: Transfer RNA (tRNA) molecules are approximately 80 nucleotides in length. Their secondary structure includes four short double-helical elements and three loops (D, anti-codon, and T loops). Further hydrogen bonds mediate the characteristic L-shaped molecular structure. tRNAs have two regions of fundamental functional importance: the anti-codon, which is responsible for specific mRNA codon recognition, and the 3' end, to which the tRNAs corresponding amino acid is attached (by aminoacyl-tRNA synthetases). tRNAs cope with the degeneracy of the genetic code in two manners: having more than one tRNA (with a specific anti-codon) for a particular amino acid; and 'wobble' base-pairing, i.e. permitting non-standard base-pairing at the 3rd anti-codon position. Lineage: Bacteria; Pseudomonadati; Pseudomonadota; Gammaproteobacteria. The record is from RNAcentral.
CAGGGUGUAGCUCAGCCUGAUCAGAGCACGCGGUUCGGAGCCGCGAGGCCACUGGUUUGAAUCCAGUCGCCCUGACCA